GACAGGCGAUGGAGACGGGGAUCAGAUGGGAGGGUGACCUGGUGAGAGAUUUUCCAGCUGGCAGAAAUGUCCUCUACCUUGAGGGAGGCGUGUGACAUGGGAGUUCUGUUUAAAGAGGAGAAUGGAUGGUUACACAUCCUGCUUGGGAUCCAAUCACUGAACCAGAGGGGAACACCGUGCAUGAUGGGCUGCCCUACCCACUUUACGGAUGAGGAAAUGGAGGCUCGGGAGAUGAAGCUGGCAGACUUCCUCUGGAACUUCCUCUGGACAUCUGGAGGGACGUCCUGUCAGCAGAGCAGGCUGGACUGCUUCACAAAGAGGAUGCAGCCCCACCUCCCAGCGGGAGUCAGUUCUGCUCUGAGACGUGAGGCUCAGAAUCAGAUGAAGACUCCUGCUGCUGCAUCUUGAAGAUAAUGAUGCUGUUGCUCCCGGCUGGAACCACAGCAGUGGCGAUGAGUGAACAGCCAGCAGAGUGGAGCGGCCACACUGAUACAGGUGAGGCUCCAGCACUGCCGCAGCCCAGGGCCAGGCAAAACCGCCUUCCUAUCCCCCGGGAGCCGAGGCCUCCGAGAUCGGCGCUGGGAGGUCGCACAGUGCAGGCAAAUCACACGGACCUCAGAGCAGGGUCCCUGGCCGUGAAAACUCAAAAGACACAGUCUUUAAAAUAAGGACAGAAAACUGUAUUUAGUGCCACAAUAAAGCUGUGUCACAAACUACCC
RNAcentral lists this long non-coding RNA (719 nucleotides) under Homo sapiens (human). Its description in RNAcentral is "non-protein coding LINC00207:4". The record is from RNAcentral. Lineage: Eukaryota; Metazoa; Chordata; Mammalia; Primates; Hominidae.